Cyprinus carpio carpio is the source of this 698-nucleotide long non-coding RNA. Lineage: Eukaryota; Metazoa; Chordata; Actinopteri; Cypriniformes; Cyprinidae. The record is from Ensembl.
GUCCUGGGAAUCCGGAGUUAUAAAAAUAUCACAUAUUGGUAUGCUGCGCAGACAGAUCCAGGUAUAAUUUAAGAUGUGCACUCUCAGUAUUCACUGACAUCAGCCCUCCCACAUUCCCAAAGGUCUCUCGCUCUUCUGUGGAAAGUCGCGAGCGCACAUUCACGUGGCGGUGUGCUCUAGUUACCACAGCAACCGGGCCGAGGCAGUUUAUUGUAUAUUCCGCGCACAGUUCCCGACUCCUCCGUCCUCAACAAGUCAAAGACACUUUUCCCCCGUUUAAUUCUGUACUAAAACCACGAAAAGAGUUAUUUUCGCCAUUGGACGCAUCUGGAAUCUCAUAGACGAGCGUCAAUCCAAAAACACCAGCCUCCUCAAUGUAAACAACAACGAUGACGAUGCCACAAAGUGUAUUGACACCAUCUGUCAGAGCUCCAGCCGGUGCCUGAGGAUGAUCUCUUCAGACCAGUGAGCAUCCCCCUGACCUGGACAGACACUUACCGCCAAGCGAAAAGCCCAAAAAGGGGUGGAUUAAGGUGGUCAGGGGCCCCUAGGCUGCUCUUUGUGUGAGUCCACACGCAAAUAGUAAGGUGUGGUGAGCUAUGACCAUAAGAUGGAUAGCCGAGGAUGGCAUGGAAACAUCAUUAUCUGUGACCUUUGGUUGACUUGAACAUAUAAAAAAAGAAAGAAGGGAAAAAAAU